AUCCUCCAAGGCUAAAUACUCCUGACUGACCGAUAGUGAACCAGUACCGUGAGGGAAAGGCGAAAAGAACCCCGGCGAGGGGAGUGAAAAAGAACCUGAAACCGUGUACGUACAAGCAGUGGGAGCACGCUUAGGCGUGUGACUGCGUACCUUUUGUAUAAUGGGUCAGCGACUUAUAUUCUGUAGCAAGGUUAACCGAAUAGGGGAGCCGAAGGGAAACCGAGUCUUAACUGGGCGUUAAGUUGCAGGGUAUAGACCCGAAACCCGGUGAUCUAGCCAUGGGCAGGUUGAAGGUUGGGUAACACUAACUGGAGGACCGAACCGACUAAUGUUGAAAAAUUAGCGGAUGACUUGUGGCUGGGGGUGAAAGGCCAAUCAAACCGGGAGAUAGCUGGUUCUCCCCGAAAGCUAUUUAGGUAGCGCCUCGUGAACUCAUCUCCGGGGGUAGAGCACUGUUUCGGCAAGGGGGUCAUCCCGACUUACCAACCCGAUGCAAACUGCGAAUACCGGAGAAUGUUAUCACGGGAGACACACGGCGGGUGCUAACGUCCGUCGUGAA
RNAcentral lists this ribosomal RNA (559 nucleotides) under Escherichia coli. Its description in RNAcentral is "partial 23S ribosomal RNA". It matches the Rfam family "Bacterial large subunit ribosomal RNA", at positions 455 to 1014 of the family's 2925-position model. The record is from RNAcentral. Lineage: Bacteria; Pseudomonadati; Pseudomonadota; Gammaproteobacteria; Enterobacterales; Enterobacteriaceae.